This 229-nucleotide ribosomal RNA is filed under the name uncultured bacterium. RNAcentral describes it as "partial 16S ribosomal RNA". It matches the Rfam family "Bacterial small subunit ribosomal RNA", at positions 568 to 796 of the family's 1533-position model. The record is from RNAcentral.
UGCGUAGGCGGCAUUAUAAGUCAGAGGUGAAAGCCAGCAGCUUAACUGUUGAAUUGCCUUUGAUACUGUAAUGCUUGAAUCAGGUUGAGGUAGGCGGAAUGUGACAUGUAGCGGUGAAAUGCAUAGAUAUGUCAUAGAACACCAAUUGCGAAGGCAGCUUACUGGACCUGUAUUGACACUGAGGCACGAGAGCGUGGGGAGCGAACAGGAUUAGAUACCCUGGUAGUCC